AUGCAGUCGAGCGAGAAAGCUCCUUCGGGAGUUAGUAAAGCGGCGAACGGGUGAGUAACGCGUGAGAAUCUGCCCUUUAGUGAAGGAUACCCUCGAGAAAUCGAGGUUAAUACUGCAUACGUUUCUUCGGAAAGAAAGAUGGCCUCUUGCUGCCGCUGAAGGAUGAGCUCGCGUGCUAUUAGUUUGUUGGUAAGGUAAUGGCUUACCAAGACUAUGAUGGCUAGCCGGCCUGAGAGGGUGAACGGCCACACUGGAACUUAGACACGGUCCAGACUCCUACGGGAGGCAGCAGUGGGGAAUAUUGCGCAAUGGGCGAAAGCCUGACGCAGCGACGCCGCGUGGAGGAUGAAGGUUUUCGGAUCGUAAACUCCUGUUAAGUGGGAAGAAAGGUUUGCGGUUAAUACCCGCAAAACAUGACGGUACCAUUAGAGAAAGCACCGGCUAACUUCGUGCCAGCAGCCGCGGCAAUACGAGGGGUGCUAGCGUUAUUCGGAUUUACUGGGCGUAAAGGGUGUGUAGACGGUAUGUUAAGUCUGCUGUUAAAUUUCCUGGCCUAACUAGGAACAGGCAGCGGAUACUGGCAAACUUGAGGAUGGAAGAGAGAAGUGGAAUUCUCGG
RNAcentral lists this ribosomal RNA (618 nucleotides) under uncultured bacterium. RNAcentral describes it as "bacterial SSU rRNA". It matches the Rfam family "Bacterial small subunit ribosomal RNA", at positions 55 to 673 of the family's 1533-position model. The record is from RNAcentral.